UGGGGAUUGGUGUAACGGUAGCACGACUGGCUCUGAACCAGUUAGUCAAGGUUCGAAUCCUUGAUCCCCAG
RNAcentral lists this transfer RNA (71 nucleotides) under Phycisphaeraceae bacterium. RNAcentral describes it as "tRNA-Gln". It matches the Rfam family "tRNA". From Rfam's summary of the family: Transfer RNA (tRNA) molecules are approximately 80 nucleotides in length. The record is from RNAcentral. Lineage: Bacteria; Pseudomonadati; Planctomycetota; Phycisphaerae; Phycisphaerales; Phycisphaeraceae.